AACCACUGAUGACCUUUCUAUUUUUUUCUGACACCUCGUAUGAGCACUGCCUAGCAGUGCUUGAUUAUGAAUUAUAGUCUGAGGUUC
Small nucleolar RNA from Electrophorus electricus (electric eel), 87 nucleotides. RefSeq annotates it as small nucleolar RNA SNORD60. The record is from RefSeq and is a predicted model, not a curated record. NCBI's taxonomy places the organism in Eukaryota, Metazoa, Chordata, Actinopteri, Gymnotiformes, Gymnotidae.